RNAcentral lists this small nuclear RNA (103 nucleotides) under Amborella trichopoda. Lineage: Eukaryota; Viridiplantae; Streptophyta; Magnoliopsida; Amborellales; Amborellaceae. The record is from RNAcentral.
GAAUCAUUUUGGAGACAUCCGAUAAAUUGGAACGAUAAAGAGAAGAUUAGCAUGGCCCCUGCACAAGGAUGACAUGACAAAUUGAGAAAUAGUCCAAAUUGUU